Molecule: ribosomal RNA, 1347 nt
Filed under: uncultured bacterium
Lineage: Bacteria
Description: bacterial SSU rRNA
Rfam family: Bacterial small subunit ribosomal RNA
Source: RNAcentral
GACGAACGCUGGCGGCGUGCUUAACACAUGCAAGUCGAACGAUGAAGCCUAGCUUGCUAGGUGGAUUAGUGGCGAACGGGUGAGUAAUACGUGAGUAACCUACCUUUAACUCUGGGAUAAGCCUGGGAAACUGGGUCUAAUACCGGAUACGACCAAUCUCCGCAUGGGGUGUUGGUGGAAAGCGUUAUGUAGUGGUUAUAGAUGGGCUCACGGCCUAUCAGCUUGUUGGUGAGGUAACGGCUCACCAAGGCGACGACGGGUAGCCGGCCUGAGAGGGUGACCGGCCACACUGGGACUGAGACACGGCCCAGACUCCUACGGGAGGCAGCAGUGGGGAAUAUUGCACAAUGGGCGCAAGCCUGAUGCAGCGACGCCGCGUGAGGGAUGACGGCCUUCGGGUUGUAAACCUCUGUUAGCAGGGAAGAAGAGAGAUUGACGGUACCUGCAGAGAAAGCGCCGGCUAACUACGUGCCAGCAGCCGCGGUAAUACGUANGGCGCGAGCGUUGUCCGGAAUUAUUGGGCGUNAAGAGCUUGUANGCCGUUUGUCGCGUCUGCUGUGAAGGCCGGAGCUUAACUCCGUGUAUUGCAGUGGGUACGGGCAGACUAGAGUGCAGUAGGGGAGACUGGAAUUCCUGGUGUAGCGGUGGAAUGCGCAGAUAUCAGGAGGAACACCGAUGGCGAAGGCAGGUCUCUGGGCUGUAACUGACGCUGAGAAGCGAAAGCAUGGGGAGCGAACAGGAUUAGAUACCCUGGUAGUCCAUGCCGUAAACGUUGGGCACUAGGUGUGGGGAACAUUCCACGUUUUCCGCGCCGUAGCUAACGCAUUAAGUGCCCCGCCUGGGGAGUACGGCCGCAAGGCUAAAACUCAAAGAAAUUGACGGGGGCCCGCACAAGCGGCGGAGCAUGCGGAUUAAUUCGAUGCAACGCGAAGAACCUUACCAAGGCUUGACAUAUACUGGACCGCAUCAGAGAUGGUGUUUCCCUUCGGGGCUGGUAUACAGGUGGUGCAUGGUUGUCGUCAGCUCGUGUCGUGAGAUGUUGGGUUAAGUCCCGCAACGAGCGCAACCCUCGUUCUAUGUUGCCAGCACGUUAUGGUGGGGACUCAUAGGAGACUGCCGGGGUCAACUCGGAGGAAGGUGGGGAUGACGUCAAAUCAUCAUGCCCCUUAUGUCUUGGGCUUCACGCAUGCUACAAUGGCCGGUACAGAGGGUUGCGAUACUGUGAGGUGGAGCUAAUCCCUAAAAGCCGGUCUCAGUUCGGAUUGGGGUCUGCAACUCGACCCCAUGAAGUCGGAGUCGCUAGUAAUCGCAGAUCAGCAACGCUGCGGUGAAUACGUUCCCGGGCCU